CCCUUAGAUGUCCUGGGCCGCACGCGCGCUACACUGACAUGUUCAACAAGCCUCCUAGUUCGACAGGAUUUGGGAAAUCUUUGAACGCAUGUCGUGAUAGGGAUAGAUCAUUGCAAUUAUUGAUCUUGAACGAGGAAUUCCUAGUAAACGCGAGUCAUCAGCUCGCAUUGAUUACGUCCCUGCCCUUUGUACACACCGCCCGUCGCACCUACCGAUUGAAUGCUCAGGUGAGCCAUUCGGACUUUCAUCAUGCUGGUUUCCAGUUUUGAUGAAGGAAAGUCUUGCGAACCUUAUCAUUUAGAGGAAGGAGAAGUCGUAACA
RNAcentral lists this ribosomal RNA (321 nucleotides) under uncultured eukaryote. Its description in RNAcentral is "partial 18S ribosomal RNA". It matches the Rfam family "Eukaryotic small subunit ribosomal RNA", at positions 1470 to 1796 of the family's 1831-position model. The record is from RNAcentral.